This 2401-nucleotide ribosomal RNA is filed under the name Escherichia coli. RNAcentral describes it as "partial 23S ribosomal RNA". It matches the Rfam family "Bacterial large subunit ribosomal RNA", at positions 414 to 2798 of the family's 2925-position model. The record is from RNAcentral. Lineage: Bacteria; Pseudomonadati; Pseudomonadota; Gammaproteobacteria; Enterobacterales; Enterobacteriaceae.
AGGGCGGGACACGUGGUAUCCUGUCUGAAUAUGGGGGGACCAUCCUCCAAGGCUAAAUACUCCUGACUGACCGAUAGUGAACCAGUACCGUGAGGGAAAGGCGAAAAGAACCCCGGCGAGGGGAGUGAAAAAGAACCUGAAACCGUGUACGUACAAGCAGUGGGAGCACGCUUAGGCGUGUGACUGCGUACCUUUUGUAUAAUGGGUCAGCGACUUAUAUUCUGUAGCAAGGUUAACCGAAUAGGGGAGCCGAAGGGAAACCGAGUCUUAACUGGGCGUUAAGUUGCAGGGUAUAGACCCGAAACCCGGUGAUCUAGCCAUGGGCAGGUUGAAGGUUGGGUAACACUAACUGGAGGACCGAACCGACUAAUGUUGAAAAAUUAGCGGAUGACUUGUGGCUGGGGGUGAAAGGCCAAUCAAACCGGGAGAUAGCUGGUUCUCCCCGAAAGCUAUUUAGGUAGCGCCUCGUGAAUUCAUCUCCGGGGGUAGAGCACUGUUUCGGCAAGGGGGUCAUCCCGACUUACCAACCCGAUGCAAACUGCGAAUACCGGAGAAUGUUAUCACGGGAGACACACGGCGGGUGCUAACGUCCGUCGUGAAGAGGGAAACAACCCAGACCGCCAGCUAAGGUCCCAAAGUCAUGGUUAAGUGGGAAACGAUGUGGGAAGGCCCAGACAGCCAGGAUGUUGGCUUAGAAGCAGCCAUCAUUUAAAGAAAGCGUAAUAGCUCACUGGUCGAGUCGGCCUGCGCGGAAGAUGUAACGGGGCUAAACCAUGCACCGAAGCUGCGGCAGCGACGCUGAUGCGUUGUUGGGUAGGGGAGCGUUCUGUAAGCCUGCGAAGGUGUGCUGUGAGGCAUGCUGGAGGUAUCAGAAGUGCGAAUGCUGACAUAAGUAACGAUAAAGCGGGUGAAAAGCCCGCUCGCCGGAAGACCAAGGGUUCCUGUCCAACGUUAAUCGGGGCAGGGUGAGUCGACCCCUAAGGCGAGGCCGAAAGGCGUAGUCGAUGGGAAACAGGUUAAUAUUCCUGUACUUGGUGUUACUGCGAAGGGGGGACGGAGAAGGCUAUGUUGGCCGGGCGACGGUUGUCCCGGUUUAAGCGUGUAGGCUGGUUUUCCAGGCAAAUCCGGAAAAUCAAGGCUGAGGCGUGAUGACGAGGCACUACGGUGCUGAAGCAACAAAUGCCCUGCUUCCAGGAAAAGCCUCUAAGCAUCAGGUAACAUCAAAUCGUACCCCAAACCGACACAGGUGGUCAGGUAGAGAAUACCAAGGCGCUUGAGAGAACUCGGGUGAAGGAACUAGGCAAAAUGGUGCCGUAACUUCGGGAGAAGGCACGCUGAUAUGUAGGUGAAGUCCCUCGCGGAUGGAGCUGAAAUCAGUCGAAGAUACCAGCUGGCUGCAACUGUUUAUUAAAAACACAGCACUGUGCAAACACGAAAGUGGACGUAUACGGUGUGACGCCUGCCCGGUGCCGGAAGGUUAAUUGAUGGGGUUAGCCGCAAGGCGAAGCUCUUGAUCGAAGCCCCGGUAAACGGCGGCCGUAACUAUAACGGUCCUAAGGUAGCGAAAUUCCUUGUCGGGUAAGUUCCGACCUGCACGAAUGGCGUAAUGAUGGCCAGGCUGUCUCCACCCGAGACUCAGUGAAAUUGAACUCGCUGUGAAGAUGCAGUGUACCCGCGGCAAGACGGAAAGACCCCGUGAACCUUUACUAUAGCUUGACACUGAACAUUGAGCCUUGAUGUGUAGGAUAGGUGGGAGGCUUAGAAGUGUGGACGCCAGUCUGCAUGGAGCCGACCUUGAAAUACCACCCUUUAAUGUUUGAUGUUCUAACGUUGACCCGUAAUCCGGGUUGCGGACAGUGUCUGGUGGGUAGUUUGACUGGGGCGGUCUCCUCCUAAAGAGUAACGGAGGAGCACGAAGGUUGGCUAAUCCUGGUCGGACAUCAGGAGGUUAGUGCAAUGGCAUAAGCCAGCUUGACUGCGAGCGUGACGGCGCGAGCAGGUGCGAAAGCAGGUCAUAGUGAUCCGGUGGUUCUGAAUGGAAGGGCCAUCGCUCAACGGAUAAAAGGUACUCCGGGGAUAACAGGCUGAUACCGCCCAAGAGUUCAUAUCGACGGCGGUGUUUGGCACCUCGAUGUCGGCUCAUCACAUCCUGGGGCUGAAGUAGGUCCCAAGGGUAUGGCUGUUCGCCAUUUAAAGUGGUACGCGAGCUGGGUUUAGAACGUCGUGAGACAGUUCGGUCCCUAUCUGCCGUGGGCGCUGGAGAACUGAGGGGGGCUGCUCCUAGUACGAGAGGACCGGAGUGGACGCAUCACUGGUGUUCGGGUUGUCAUGCCAAUGGCACUGCCCGGUAGCUAAAUGCGGAAGAGAUAAGUGCUGAAAGCAUCUAAGCACGAAACUUGCC